GAUGAACGCUGGCGGCGUGCCUAAUACAUGCAAGUCGAGCGAAGCGGGGACGGUUGAGUAACACUGGGAUACCCUCCUAUAAGACUGGGUUAACAUCGGGAAACCGGAGCUAAACCGGAUAUUUAUGUAUGGAUUCGCGCUGGACCAGCUAGUUGGUAAGGUAAUGGCUUACCAAGGCAACGAUGCAUAGCCGACCUGAGAGGGUGAUCGGCCACAUGGGAACUAGGAAACGGCCCAGACUCCUACGGGAGGAAGCAGUAGGGAAUCUUCGGCAAUGGAGGAAAGCCUGACGGAGCAACGCCGCGUGAGGGUUGAGGGUCUUCGGAUCGUAAAACUCUGUUAUUAGGGAAGCGGUACCUAAUCAGAAAGACACGGCUAACUACGUGCCAGCCGCCGCGGUAAUUC
Molecule: ribosomal RNA, 405 nt
Filed under: uncultured bacterium
Lineage: Bacteria
Description: partial 16S ribosomal RNA
Rfam family: Bacterial small subunit ribosomal RNA
Source: RNAcentral